Long non-coding RNA from Zalophus californianus (California sea lion), 697 nucleotides. RefSeq lists it as uncharacterized. NCBI's taxonomy places the organism in Eukaryota, Metazoa, Chordata, Mammalia, Carnivora, Otariidae. The transcript has 4 exons. The record is from RefSeq and is a predicted model, not a curated record.
GGCGGGCUCUCCGUCGGGCGGCUCUCGGUGCUGCGUCUGCCGCUUGUGCUUCAUGCGUCGAUUCUGGAACCACACUUUGACCUGCCUCUCGGUGAGGUCCAGCAAGGCCGCGAUCUCGACGCGGCGCGGCCGGCACAGGAGAAUUGCAAGGGGAAAAAAAUCAAGAUUUGGAGGAAUUACCCACAGAGAUAGAAGGUCUCUCACCCAAGCAGAGUCUAGCCUGAAGGGAAAAAAAACAGGAUCUCUGAAAGAGACAGGAAGAAGAAGCAAGUUGAGCAGGGAACCUUCUCCUGUGAGGAGCCCUCUCUUUCCCCUCCCACUUCACGAAAACAACAACAGCCUGACCUAGAAACUUCCUGAAGAUUUUUAACAUCCAGAGCCAGCAGAACCGAGCCUCCUCCAUGGCCCUGCAGCAGGCAGUCUGUUUCCUUUGAUUUCUCCAAAAGAAGAAAAGAAGAGAGAAACUGGAUAACUAACUGCUGGACUUUUCUACCAAGAGAUGCUAAAGUGCCUCCCGAAUGAGAACACCUUUUCCCAAGGCAAAAAAAGAAAGUCAACAGAGCAAUCAGAACAAUAUUAUUCUCUGGGUUGGAAACAGGGUAUCUUGUUUACUGAAGUUUUCCAAGUAAAAAAAAAAAUCAUUAUUUUAACGCAGACUUUUAAAACUGUGCAGAAAAAAUAAAGCUUCGAGCUGUCA